Molecule: long non-coding RNA, 356 nt
Organism: Bactrocera neohumeralis
Lineage: Eukaryota; Metazoa; Arthropoda; Insecta; Diptera; Tephritidae
Exons: 2
Source: RefSeq, a predicted model, not a curated record
AACAAUGACUGAUGAAUAAGUGAAUGGGUGUGAGAUGUAUAUACAUAUAUGUAUGUAUGUACAUAUAUGCAUGUAUUUCGAAGUUAAGCAAUUCGCCGUAAAUAUAAAUUCAUUUAUGGUAUUGUGAUAUGCGCAUCGUAUUUACUCGCACUGGCAGGGUUGCAAAUAAAGCAUUAAAAUAAUAAAUUAAUUAACAAGUCAGCCGAUUUUCAGUGUUACCACACUCAAUUUUACAUGUUGCCAAUGAAGACAACGUGAUAAUAACAUUAUUUACCGUUAUUUUUAAAAUUUUAUUCAAAUUUAUGCAGUACAAAUAUAAUAAAAGUACAUUUUUCUUACAUUUACUAUUAAUAUAA